GAUGAAGAACGCAGCAAAAUGCGAUAAGUAAUGUGAAUUGCAGAAUUCAGUGAAUCAUCGAAUCUUUGAACGCACCUUGCGCUCCUUGGUAUUCCGAGGAGCAUGCCUGUUUGAGUGUCAUGAAAUUCUCAACCUUUUCAGCUUUCUUUGUUGAUCAGGCUUGGAUGUGGGAGUAUGCGGGCUUCUCAGAAGUCGGCUCUCCUGAAAUGCAUUAGCGGGACCUUUGUUGCCUGGCUUUGGUGUGAUAAUUAUCUACGCCAUUGUAGUCAAGCAGCUUAAAAUGAGGUUUCAGCUUCUAACCGUCUCCCCUGAGACAACUUUUUGACAAUUUGACCUCAAAUCAGGUAGGACUACCCGCUGAACUUAAGCAUAUCAAUAAGCGGAGGA
RNAcentral lists this unclassified non-coding RNA (387 nucleotides) under soil metagenome. Its description in RNAcentral is "partial contains 5.8S ribosomal RNA, internal transcribed spacer 2, and large subunit ribosomal RNA". The stretch from base 1 to 120 matches the Rfam family "5.8S ribosomal RNA", at positions 35 to 154 of the family's 154-position model. The record is from RNAcentral.